This 427-nucleotide ribosomal RNA is filed under the name uncultured bacterium. Its description in RNAcentral is "bacterial SSU rRNA". It matches the Rfam family "Bacterial small subunit ribosomal RNA", at positions 355 to 774 of the family's 1533-position model. The record is from RNAcentral.
UGGGGAAUUUUGGACAAUGGGCGCAAGCCUGAUCCAGCCAUGCCGCGUGCGGGAAGAAGGCCUUCGGGUUGUAAACCGCUUUUGUCAGGGAAGAAACGAGUUUCUCUAAUACAGAGACUUAAUGACGGUACCUGAAGAAUAAGCACCGGCUAACUACGUGCCAGCAGCCGCGGUAAUACGUAGGGUGCAAGCGUUAAUCGGAAUUACUGGGCGUAAAGCGUGCGCAGGCGGUUAUGCAAGACAGAUGUGAAAUCCCCGGGCUCAACCUGGGACCUGCAUUUGUGACUGUAUAGCUAGAGUACGGUAGAGGGGGAUGGAAUUCCGUGUGUAGCAGUGAAAUGCGUAGAUAUGCGGAGGAACACCGAUGGCGAAGGCAAUCCCCUGGACCUGUACUGACGCUCAUGCACGAAAGCGUGGGGAGCAAACA